This 427-nucleotide ribosomal RNA is filed under the name uncultured bacterium. RNAcentral describes it as "bacterial SSU rRNA". It matches the Rfam family "Bacterial small subunit ribosomal RNA", at positions 355 to 772 of the family's 1533-position model. The record is from RNAcentral.
UGGGGAAUUGUUCGCAAUGGGCGCAAGCCUGACGACGCAACGCCGCGUGGAGGAUGAAGAUCUUCGGGUCGUAAACUCCUGUUGAGUGGGAAGAAUAGUUUCCGGGCGAAUAUCCCGGGAGCCUGACGGUACCACUAAAGGAAGCCCCGGCUAACUCCGUUCCAGCAGCCGCGGUAAUACGGGGGGGGCAAGCGUUGUUCGGAAUUACUGGGCGUAAAGGGCGCGUAGGCGGCCACCGCAAGUCGACUGUGAAAUCUCCGGGCUUAACUCGGAAAGGUCAGCCGAUACUGCGGGGCUAGAGUGCAGAAGGGGCAACUGGAAUUCUCGGUGUAGCGGUGAAAUGCGUAGAUAUCGAGAGGAACACCUGCGGCGAAGGCGGGUUGCUGGGCUGACACUGACGCUGAGGCGCGAAAGCUAGGGGAGCGAA